AAUAUGGAAAAUAAUUGCAUGGAAGAUGGAGAAGGUGAAACAAGCCCUGGCUUGAACAUUUCAGAAGGUGAAAGCAACGAAAAGUCAUCACAAGCUAUGAAAGUAUGUUUUGGAGAAGCUGACAAAGAAGAGAAGAACUC
Molecule: non-coding RNA, 140 nt
Organism: Prunus avium (sweet cherry)
Lineage: Eukaryota; Viridiplantae; Streptophyta; Magnoliopsida; Rosales; Rosaceae
Source: RefSeq, a predicted model, not a curated record